UACGUAGGGGGCAAGCGUUGUCCGGAAUCAUUGGGCGUAAAGAGCGCGUAGGCGGCCCUGUAAGUCCGCUGUGAAAGUCCAGGGCUCAACCCUGGGAUGCCGGUGGAUACUGUCGGGCUCGAGUCCGGAAGAGGCGAGUGGAAUUCCUGGUGUAGCGGUGAAAUGCGCAGAUAUCAGGAGGAACACCAAUGGCGAAGGCAGCUCGCUGGGACGUGACUGACGCUGAGACGCGAAAGCGUGGGGAGCAAACAGG
This 253-nucleotide ribosomal RNA is filed under the name uncultured bacterium. RNAcentral's name for it is "partial 16S ribosomal RNA". It matches the Rfam family "Bacterial small subunit ribosomal RNA", at positions 524 to 776 of the family's 1533-position model. The record is from RNAcentral.